Oreochromis niloticus (Nile tilapia) is the source of this 1639-nucleotide long non-coding RNA. The record is from Ensembl. NCBI's taxonomy places the organism in Eukaryota, Metazoa, Chordata, Actinopteri, Cichliformes, Cichlidae.
UUUAAAACGAAGACAAGACAUUCAAGUAUUCAACUUGUAUUUAUCUUUUCAAUAUCUUUUAUAGUUUUUCUUCAGUUCCAGUUUAAGUUUCAUGAUGUUUUUUCACCCGUUUCAGAGUUUAUAAUGGGUGUGUAUGGGACGGAAUGUUGGAAGUUAGAGUGAGACAGCUCAACUGUUAGAGUGAAAGCAGGUUGAAAAUUAAUCUUAAAAUCUUUUUUUAAACUGCUGCUGUGUCCACAGCGUUUGCUCUACAGCCAUCAUUUUACCCUCAAAACGUAGCCAUCGCUGUCCUCUUUCAUCCAAUGUGUUUACUAUUGUACUAGGUGUUAUGGUUCUUUCAUAAAUGUCACCAAUGCACAGUACAAUAGUAAACACAUUGGAUGAAAGAGGACAGCGAUGGCUACGUUUUGAGGGUAAAAUCAUACCUGUAGAGCAAACGCUGCGGACACAGCAGCAGUUUUAAAAAAUAUUUUAAGAUUAAUUUUUUUGCUCCUCUCACUCUAGCAGUUGAGCUGUCUCACUCUAGCCCCAAAAUUCCGUCCCAUACACACCCAUUAUAAACUCUGAAACGGCUGAAAAAUCAUCAUGAAACUUAAACUGGAACUGAAGAAAAAGUAUAAUAGAUAUUGAAAAGAUAAAAACAAGUUGAAUAGUUGAAUGUCUUGUCUUCGUUUUAAAGUUUGAAUGGUGGAUCUAUGUCAACGUAUGUGGAAGUAGUAGGAGUUUAAAAAUGAGUAAGUUGAAUGAGGAUUUGAAGGGUCUCCCCAUUGAAAUACAUGGGAAAUUUUUGUUGAAAAAAGUUGAAUAAAAUUAAAAAUAUAAAUGUUAAAAAUGAGAAAAAUAGAAGCAGUCAUGUCCAAAAGAAGAGGAAUCUAACGGUGUUUGAAUGGUUUUUCUAAGUUGAACGGUUUUGAAGUAGUAGGACUACAAAAAACGUACGGAAUAGAUAAUAAUAAUAAAAUAGAACUAGAAAGUGCAUUUUCUGAAGAAACUGCAGUGUGAAUGCUUGAAUCUGAAUGUAUUCACUGAAAUAAAUUAAUUGCUGAAUUUUAAGUUAAAAAUGUUGAAUGAGAUGAAAAAUACAGAAAUUUGCACCUGAAAACAAAAGUGCUGAACUGCUAAAAGCUGAAAUCCACACAGAAGAAGUUGGAAAAGAGCUGAAAAUGUUUUAAAUGUAAAUUAGAAAAACCUAAGUAAUGAGAAAAGAAAAUUUAGAGUCAGAAAACAUCUGAAUGAAUAUUAAAAGUUCAUAUUCUUUGAAUCACUGAAUGACUGAAAUGUGUGAUCCCUCCACUUGUAUCCACACAGUUUAAAAAGUUUAUAUUUCUGAGCUUUGAAAGACAUGCUGUUGGAAAGAGAACAUCGAUGGCGAGGUUUUGAGGGUAAAAUGAUGGCUGUAGGGCAAACACUGUGGACACAGCAGCAGUUGAAAGAGAAGUGUUUAAAAUGAAUCUUGGCACAGUGAGAGAGGGAGCUCGUUAGGCAGGCAGGUGUGAGCCUGGUUGCUAUAGUGACUGCACCCAAUGGCCCCAUGGACACGCAGACAUGCACCUCACUUUUGCUGCUUAAAAUGAACAGAAAAGUCAGGCCGAAACAAAUCGCUCCCAAAUGAAAAGUAUAAGUCGUAUUGACAAAAUUC